GACGAACGCUGGCGGCGUGCUUAACACAUGCAAGUCGAACGGAAAGGCCCUGCUUGCAGGGUACUCGAGUGGCGAACGGGUGAGUAACACGUGGGUGAUCUGCCCUGCACUUCGGGAUAAGCCGGGGAAACUGGGUCUAAUACCGGAUAGGAGCCAUUUUUAGCGUGAUGGUUGGAAAGUUUUUUCGGUGUAGGAUGAGCUCGCGGCCUAUCAGCUUGUUGGUGGGGUAAUGGCCUACCAAGGCGGCGACGGGUAGCCGGCCUGAGAGGGUGGACGGCCACACUGGGACUGAGAUACGGCCCAGACUCCUACGGGAGGCAGCAGUGGGGAAUAUUGCACAAUGGGCGCAAGCCUGAUGCAGAGACGCCGCGUGGGGGAUGACGGCCCUCGGGUUGUAAACUCCUUUCGAUAGGGACGAAGCUUUUUGUGACGGUACCUAGAUAAGAAGCACCGGCUAACUACGUG
RNAcentral lists this ribosomal RNA (465 nucleotides) under uncultured bacterium. Its description in RNAcentral is "partial 16S ribosomal RNA". It matches the Rfam family "Bacterial small subunit ribosomal RNA", at positions 28 to 507 of the family's 1533-position model. The record is from RNAcentral.